GCAUAUUAACUGACAAUGUAUAGGCAGCUGAGUGGGCACACUAGGACAAAUCUAUAAAUUCUGUACAACAAUUUUCUUAUAAAUUAUCAGUUUUGCCAUCUUUUCAAUUGUAGCACUUUGGUGCCUUUUGCUAGUGUUUUAUUUACUUUUUGGUGUAGUGCAUUCGAUUUACCCAACUUUUCUACAUAGCUCUAAAAAGUCAUCAGAAUUAUGGUGUCUUCUUA
Non-coding RNA from Pelobates cultripes (western spadefoot toad), 224 nucleotides. The record is from the annotation of a GenBank genome assembly. NCBI's taxonomy places the organism in Eukaryota, Metazoa, Chordata, Amphibia, Anura, Pelobatidae.